Non-coding RNA from Odocoileus virginianus texanus, 7919 nucleotides. The record is from RefSeq and is a predicted model, not a curated record. Lineage: Eukaryota; Metazoa; Chordata; Mammalia; Artiodactyla; Cervidae.
CUAGCUUUGUUGGGGUGUGGGGUAGCUCCUCCCAGCCGCCGCCCCUGACCUUGGUCGGACAUGGAGUAGCUCCUCCCAGCCGCACUUGUGCGCCAUCGCAGCCACCCACAACGGCUCAAUCCAAGAGAUAGGCUCUUCUCUAUCUACCCUGCGUACUAUACCAAUAAUAACUGGUUUUCUGAGAGUUUUGAUGAUCUGAUAGACCUGCACAGUGCCUCAGCAUCCAGAUGUCAGGAAUUUCUGUGGUCUAUGAUGAUGAUGUCAUGGUGUUUGUCCAGGAAACAGGCGAGGGCAGUCUGAGCCUCCGUGGUAACUGUACACAUAAACCCUGCUUUUUCACACGUCCUGAAGAAUCCAUUACACUGGUUAUCUUCUUUGAUAAAUACUAAAAGUACCUGCAGUAGAUCUGGAUGAAAUCUCAUGGGGCCAAACUGCACAUCAGCUACUGCUACUUUGUUGCUGUUUCUGCUGCUGCCUCUGGAGAGGCUCAACUCUGUGCAAGGUGGGGAGUCCUUAUAAAGUAAUCACACUGUGAUGUGACCCAGUGAAGCCAAAGAACCACAGAGUUCCCUGGCUAAUCAGCUCGGAGGGGUGCCUGACUGUCAGAACACACGGGGGCCACCUGGCACCUCUGCCCACCUGGUGGUCCCAGCACCUGGAGACAGUAGCAGCCAGCCCCCUCCCCCAACCCCCUCAGUGCUGCUGGGCCAAAAGAAGCUUGCCGACACAUGCUCUCUAUGUAAGUAUAAUGAUGUACAGUCACCCCACGUGCCCUCAAGCAUCAUCUUGCAGGUGGACGCCUGUUGAGGCCCCACGAGGGCUCAAGGACUAAGGGGUGAGAGCUAGGAGGAAGAGCACUGGACUGGGAAUCAGAAGACCUGGGUUCUAGGUCUAGUUCCUCCAUGAGCAGCUGUGAGACCUUGGGUCUAUCCCCUGGCUGGGUCUCAGUCUGCCAGUCUGCAGUGCAAAGGGGCUGGAUCAGACCACCUCCUGGGGCCCUUCCCUAGCUCAUCAUGUAAACAGCUCCUGUUUGCUCAAGACAGACACCUGCAGUGGUCUUACCUCACCAUCAGAGGGAGACGAGGCUGGUGGAGACCAGAAGGCAUCCACUGGGGUCCCCAAACCCCUUCUGGCUCAGCAAGGUCAGAACUAGCUCCAUCGUUAAUCGAAGGUGCCAUGUGCCUUUGCCACUGUGUCGAUAUUGCACUGAUUGUGUUGAGUGUGCAGCAGAUGCAUCAGACGGGUCUCAGGGCCAGUUGAACGAAGCAGUGCUGGUCGUCGUGGUUGUUACAGGGGACUGGGAAGGGAGAUGGGGAGUGGAGGGGGAAAAAGCCAGUUUCCCUUAGGAAUGCCCUAGAUGAAGCAGUAAACGUGAAUUUCACUCCACUCCUGAUAGACUUUCUAUGAUAUUCUUUGGGCUGCUGAGGGAGGUACCCAGAAAGCACUCGGGCUGUCCAUUGGGGCGAGGUGGGGUGUCGGGAAGGAGCCCAUGGGGGGAGGGGGUUGAGUCGGGGGCUGCAGCAACCGCUUUAAACACAGAACAGUAUCUUCAUUCGGAAGAACCAUCUGUACUCCAAUUGUGUAAACGCUGGUAUUUGGUAGCCAUUUUUUCAAUCAUCAGAGAGCCGGUCACUUCUAGGAGAACAAUUCUUAGUGUUUUUUGGCCAAAAUUGGAUUUUUGACAAAAUCGGAUCUUUCCAGGUGGAAACAGAUUUUGGAUAACUUGAAUCUGUUGUUGUGAUCUUGACAGUUGCCCAGAAUUUUAAAACUUUUGUAAUAAGAUGAAUAUGAACACAUGUAAUUUCUUUUACAGUGAGAUGCGUCAAACUUGAUAAGACCCGUGCAAAACUUUUCCAAAGAAGUUAUGUGUGAUGUUUCGAAAAUCUUGCAUGCAUGAAGGAAAUCUCGCAUGCGUGAAAGAAACCAUCCAAAGGUUAAGAUAAACGGAUGUAUUUGGAUGUAACAGAGUAGAAGAAGUUCAUGAACACAGCAGACUCCACAUUACAACUAAGCUUGAAGAAACCGCCACACAUUGGGUUUUGGGGUAGCACCAAAGAAGACUACACACAGUUAUUUUGAAAGCUAUUAAAAUGCAUCUCCCUUCUCCAACCACGUGUCUGUGGACAGCUGUAAGUUCAAGACGCACUUCAACCCAAACAACAUAAUCACUGCAGACUGAAUGCAGAAGCAGGUGGAAGGAUUCAGUUGUCUUCUGUAAAUGAAGACAUUUAAAAGAUUUGCAGAUGUAAAACAGUGGUUCUCAAUCAGGAUGAGACUGUCCCCUGCCCCACUCCAGGGGACAUUAGUUGUCAUAGCUGAGAGGCAGUGGUGGGUGGCCCUAGCUGCCCCUAACACCUACUGGGCAUGAACACUAGGGAUUUUGCUCAAAGUUCUACAAGUAGGCACAGAAAGCUCCCUCUGCCCCUCCCCACCCCAACACACAUCACCAAGAAUAUCCUGGGCCAAGAUUUCAUUAUUGCCACGGUUUAGAAACCCUGAUAUAAAAUAACACUACCUCCCCCUUUGUUUGUUUGUUUCAAAAAUACUCGUGUUGAGUGUGUAACGGAUUUAUUAUUGUUAUGUUUAAGGUAGUGUAUAUAUAAAUAUUUUUAAAGUUCAGCUUUCCUUCAUAACACCGGAACCAUCAGUAGACAUAUUCCACAUAAACAAAAUCUCUUUGGCGUCCUUAGUGACUUUUGGGAUUACAAAGGUGUCCUGAGACCAAAAACGUCAGAGGACUCCCCAGACAGGCAGGAGAAGGGUAUAGAUGACGAAAGGAAAGUUGCUGAGUGGGUCUACCCACUGGCCAGCUUAAAAAGAAGAGCCCUUCUUCGUGGUAGAUGUGCCCCCAAGCAUACGUCAUUUCUUCUCGAGGCCAGCUGAGGGGGCGAGUGCCAGAGUGGGGUGAGAGUAGCAGCAGCAGAACGUGUCUGGGCUUGUGGUCACCAAGGCGGACACGACCAGGACUGACAUGCACUGUUCCCAAAAACUUACUGUCUAGAAGGGAAGAGAGACACAAUAGUUUCGACUGUAAUUAACAUACGGAUGGGAAGCAGGGAAAAUACAUGCACAGGUGUCAUAAGAUCAGUGGGCAAGAGUCCAAGGUUAGGGGUUGGCGGGGGGUGGGGGUUGAAGGGUGGAGGGGGUUGAAGGGUGGAGAUGAAGGAGAUAGGGACGGCUCCCCAGAGAAAGUGCUGUCUCAGUUGAGUCUUGAAGGAUGAGUAGGAGUUUGGUCUCAGGGCUUGGGAGGAGCCCUAUGGAGGAGACGGGGUCCCAGGCACAGGGAACAGCGUUUAAGUGAAGGUUCAGAAGCACCAAACGGCCCGGGGGAUUUGGAGAAGGUACGAAAGGGUGUAGAGAAAACAAACACUAUGCUAGAUAUGCCCCCUCCAAACAAAAUGCAAUGCGUCCAAUAAAACUAAUGGAUUUUCAAAUCAAGAAAGAACCAGGAAAAUAAUAAAGGAAAGAAUAGCUCUGAUAAUAUGUGAUAUCUGUUUUUAGAAGAGAACAACAUUCCAGUGUUCUGAUACCAGCUACCCAUUUGGGAAAACACAAGUGAGACCUUGCUCUCUUGUCCAGACACAGGGUAAGAUGCUCCGUGACUCCUUCACCACCACCCCCCACCCCCAAGCCCCACAUGCCCAUCUGUGUCUUUACCCUCUUUCCAUCUUGGGUCCACCAGGGCUUUCCAGAACAUUUGCUGUGGGUCAGCAGAUCUUGCCAAGAAAGGGCAGGGGAAGCUCAUUAGCACAGAUGUCCCGGACCUGACUCCCCAUCGUUCAGAAAAGGGUCCCCAUGGCUCAUUCCAUCAAAGACAGUCACACUUGCUUCUCCCACCAAAGAAGACGAUCGAGGUGGUUGUGGGUUGAUUUUGGAAGUAGUAUGUCAACAGUAUCCAGCACACUGGACCAAAUAAAAGAGGAGCGGGGGGAGAAGAGCCCAUCUCUGCUCACCAACAGCCCCCAACAGAGGCUUCAGCUGCUGGGCAACACACGCUGUGCUUGCCCCAGGCCCAGGGGAGAGCCUGCCGUUCCCAACAGUCACUGCUGGCUGCACAAGAAGUCCGUCUGACAUGCAUCCGUGACUCUAUUUCCAGCACAAGUCUGACGGGUCUCCCUUAAAUUAAAGAAGCCUAGCUGGUCUCCAGCCUGGGGUCUCAGCCCCCCAGAACCCCUCAGAGGGCUGCCUGCACAGGCUGGUAUGGGUGACCCACAAGAGUUCAACCAAGAUGUUUUCCCAGAACAGCGGACAGCCGAGACCGUGCGGCCAGAGUGAGGUAAAGAUAACUCCGUGUGGUCCAUGGAGAAACCCAGAGAGGAAAGGAGCAGACACGUGAACACCAAGUAAGAGGCUGUGGGCCAUGGCGCUCGGGGCGGGAAACCGGGGUGGGAGACAGACACAGUGCCAGUUUGGGAAAUACCUUAGAGGCAGUCUCGAUGAGACUUUAUGGUAGAUUGCAUGUGAGUCGGGGGAGAAGGAAACCGAAGACAGAUCCCAAGGGUUUCCCUUGAGCAACUCUAGCUGGAUGGCUGGGCCACUUAGUUAGAUGAAGUUGGGGGGAGCAGGGAGCAGGUUUGGGAGUCAUUAAGAACUCUUGUUUUUAUAACAGAGUUGAUCAAAAUAGUGGACAACUUUGCCUAUCAGAAUGGAGUUUUAUUUGCCAGAUUAAAAUCCAGAACAUCCCAAAGGGAGCCCGAGCAUUUGUGUGUGUGUGUGUGUGUGUGUGUGUGUGUGUGUGUGUGUGUAUUCUCCAAAUUAUAAAAUCCUAUCACUCAAAAAAUCUUCACCUUGAAUAUAUUCUGAAAUAAAACUUGGUUUCAAAUUAAAAAAAUAAAUAAAUGAAAAAGAAGGCUGGUUUUGGACAUGUUGAAUUUGAGAAUUAAUGGCUUGUAAAACGUAACGUCAUUGUAGGACCCAGAACCCUCCCCGGAGCUAUGGCUUCUUCCCUGCGAUUUUAAGCUCUACGGUGAAGACCAUCUACAGAGCCCAAAGGGUUACAGGUCAUCCUCAAGGUCAUCAAAUGAUGGCUUUGUCCUUGGGCCACUCAUUCGUUCAUCUGUACCACAAGUACACACAUGGGUUCCAGGGAAGAGGUCUGCACUUCCCGCGAUCUUCAUAAGAAUCCAAACUGUAAAAGACUUUGGAUCCAGAAUCUGUCGCCUCACUUUUUAAAGAUGAUCUUUUGUAGCAGAUGGAGGCAAGGGAAAGUACAAAAAGGCCCAACCAUGGCCACCAGCCCCCAGGACAGGGUGCAUCUGAGGGGACUCGCAGCUGCUCCCAGCCUACCCGGGGAUCCCAGCCACAGGGUGGUCCAGAUGGGAAUGUCUUACCUCCCAUCCACCCCAGGAGGGACUGCACUGUUCUCGUGGGGUGGCGGAGGGAACAGGUCGGGGUGGGCAGUUGCCCAGGAGCCUCAAAAAACAUCACCACCAGCUCCCCGUCUCUUCCCCCACCAGCACAGCCUUCUGGAAGGUAGGCUCCGAAAAGUCACUUUCCUCUUUGCAUUUGGUUUUCCAUUCUUUUUCAUUUUCACUGUUGUAUCUCUGCCUUCUCUGUUUAAAAGAAGAAAUAAUAGCCACCCUACAAUCCACUCUUCAGUUACUUUAUUGAGUUUUCAGAUUUUCUGAGUUCUGAAAGACUUUGUUGCAACAUUAUUUCCACUGCUCUCCUUUCCUUGUGUUUCUUUUUCUCCCCACUUCUAACUUUUCUAGCUAGAUGCUCAGUUGUCCAAUUCAUCACCACACUCUCAUCUUUAGUUAAGUACGAAAUGCAUAAAUUUUCCUCUUUGUAUAACACUGGCUCUCUUUCACAGGUAUCUAUACAGUGCUUCCACUGUCAGUAUCCAGUUUGGGCUCUUGUGGGUUUUUUUUUCCCGAUUCAAAGUUUAUUUAGAAGAGUUUUGACAUUUCCAGAGUUGCUUUUUGAUUUUUGUGACUUGUUUCCUAAAUUUACUGAAAUGUGAUUACAGAAAAUGACCAUCAGAAAAUUUUAUUUUUCAAACUAACAUUGAGUUCUUCUUUGUAACUCAAAGGGUGAAUUCUGAUUAAUGGUUUGUGGUCACCCAAUGUCAAACAUUUGCUAAGUGUUUUUAAUUAUUUUUACACAGAUGCUUUAGGCCCAGGGGAGUUCAAAACCCAUGGAACAGAACCAUCCCCUGAAACAGUAGAACUCUGUAUGUGAGUCCUCAGAGACUGCCAAUGAUGGCUCUUUCACUUAUUUGGGCUUUUAUUCCACAAACAUGGGGAGCACUGCGUGCCCACUGCCUGCCAGGCCCCCCAGAGGACCCAGGGACACCAGCGUGAGGCCUGAUGGUUAUGGAUAGACUCGUGCUCACCACACUGUCCUGAGUUCAAAGACCUCCCCGAUAUAGGGGACGGUGGGAGUUUCACCCUGUGAUGGAGAAAGACCAAUGCCUGGGGUCCCUGGAGGUCUAGACACACCAACCUUGAGGUUCCACCCACCGCAGGCUUUUUAGCAAAACCUGGAUGGUCAGAUCAAGAGGAAGACCAGGUGUCUGUCACUUCAACAAAGAUCCACACUCUGAACAAAGAAGCCAAACCCAUCGGAACACAAGUAGAAGAAGCUAAAACACUUUGAAAUUAUUGCAGGCAACUGAAGGAAUACUCGGGACCUGUAUACUGACCUCUAGGACCCGUGGAAGGCUGACCAGUCCCUGCAGGAAUGUCCUUUGAUGGAGGAAGAAGUGGCAGCUUCUGUGAGAGAAGACACACAGGUGAUAAUGUGGGGUCAGGAGGUGGAAACUGGCUGGACCACCAGGCUCCUGAUCUUGGGGCCUGGAGAGAAGGACUGAUAUGAGGAAGGAAGGGAGCAUUUGAGCACCCAAGAUGGAAAGAAAAGUUCAUAUCAGGGCAGAAGGAGAAGACGGAGAUCUGAGAGCAAGCCCCAGUGGACAGUACAGAUCCAGAUUUUUCAGGCGAGUCCCUGAAGUGACUGAACUUUGUCAAGAAGUGGAGCUUCUAGGAAUAUUCUGUCAAAGCAGAUGAUUUGGAGCAAAGGGGGAACUGUCCCAAAGCAAGAGAUGAGCCUGAUGCUGUCCAGUGAGCUGAGAGCUCUCAAAGGUCCUCUGGGAGCUCGGGAGACUGAUAGACGCCUCCUCAUCUCCACAGGGGGUUGCAGAUCAGAGAAGAGUCGUCACUGAAACAGAUUAAAGUCAAGCUCCUGGAAGUGGACCCUCGUGCGUCUGAUAACCCAGUGGAGCAUCUCCCAGAGAACACUGCUCCCGGUCCCUGGGCACAGGUUUAGAAGGCUUGGCUCCUUCCCUCCAAGAAGCCCCUCAUGGGUGCUACCCUUUCCUCCUCAUCCCCUCUUCUGCUCCUCCUUCCCUCCGUUUAUCCCCAAAUCCCGCAUUUCCAUGGAUACAAACAGGGAGUUCAGGACAAGAGUCUGUUCCACCCCCAGGAGCUGCCCAGGCUCUGCAGUUCACCGCAUCCUCCCUCCCUCAGGGCCAGAUUGUCCCUGGACCCCCUCCCUCAAAACAGAGUGAGUUCCCUCCCAGGGUCCCUGACUCUCUCAUGACCACACUCGUCAAAAUGGCAAAAGACCAAGAGGGCCUCAGGGCACUGCGCUUCUCCAGAUAUUUUUGAAUUUUCCGCAUUUAUUUUUAGUUUAGAAAACUUCUAAAUGGCAAUUGUACUUUUACUCAACUUGAUUUGAUAGUAUUAUGAAUUUCAAGACUUUUAAAAAAUAGAGGUCAUUGAAGAUGCAUUGUAUUAUCCAGAUAUCUACAGGGUGGGUGUAAUAUGCUUUAUGUAAUAAUAUGUAAUAUGUAUUAUGCAUUGUAAUAUCUUUUCUAGAAAAUGUAAGCAGUAAAUUUUCAUUUAAUGAUUCACUUGUCUGCUCCCCAAAAGUAUAUAGCAUCUCUAAGCAGUGCAGCAAUAAACGACAUUUGAAAUAGCAAA